AAAGAGAGUGAGAGAACGAAGGUAAUGACUUACAAAACAAUCGCAGGCCGUCUUGGUGGUGCAGAAAGUGCAAAGAUUUAGAAGCAGAUCAGCCAACAGCAGCAGACAAUAGGUAUGCCUUUCGUAUUGUUCCUAGCUCUUCAGUAGUGUCGAACGAUAGACAAAUAGGCAAAGUUUGCGCAAGCAGCACAGACAAAAUCGAAGUGUCUUCGAUCGAUUGAUCAAGGCCGUCGUUUGGUGAUUGUUCGUCUGAUUACGACAGAGUGGUCGUCGAUCUAUUGCAAAGUGGUGCUGUUGCCGACGUGAAAAGUUCACUGCAGUGGAAGAGCCAAAAGAAAAAUCAUCUUUGUUUACGUUACAAAUCUACGCCUCUUUAUUUCCAUACAUGGCUUAAUUUGCUGGGCCACAAAUCGGCAGUGGUGAUAUCAACUUUUUUUCUUCUUCGAUUUUCUUAUCAGCAAGUGAUAGUGCGUUGUCGAUUUUUGAAUACCAUGGAAUUCUGAAAGCGCGCGCAGAGAUAAUAGUGGCUAUCUGCUUGAGAAGAAAGGUUGGUUGCGUUGCAAAUAGCGGAAAAUAAGGUGUUAAUAAAUUAUGCGUUGGAUCGUCAACCUUGAGGGUGGCCCAAGACGAGUGAAUCAUGCCUCGGUCGCCGUGGGGGACUACAUCUACUCGUUCGGUGGCUACUGCACGGGUGAGGAUUAUCGUUCGACCAGUGCCAUCGAUGUGCACAUCUUGAACACGAACAAUCUGCGCUGGGUGCUUGCCCCAUCGAUGAAGGAUGAGUACGGGGAACCGUGCAAACAUCCAGCAGUACCUUUUCAACGGUACGGCCACACGGCCGUAGCUUUCGAGGGAAAGGUUUACCUCUGGGGAGGACGAAACGACGAAAUAGUGUGUGAUAUUCUGUUUUGUUUUGACACAAAAACGCUUAAAUGGAGUACACCCCCUGUUACUGGGCCGAUUCCAGGAGCACGCGAUGGUCAUUCCGCUUGCAUGUACGGCCAGCGGAUGUACAUUUUUGGCGGUUUCGAGGAGAACAUCGAUAGGUUUUCCUGUGAUGUGCACUAUUUAGACAUAGGGACGAUGCAUUGGAUGUACGUCAACACUCGAGGUGAUCCGCCUUCAUAUCGGGAUUUUCAUUCGGCCACGAUCGUGAACCACAAAAUGUUCGUUUUCGGUGGCCGAGGAGAUGCCUAUGGCCCAUAUCAUUCGCAGGAUGAAAUCUAUUGUCCAAAGAUAGUCUGUCUAGAUCUCAAAACCAGAUGCUGGGAGAUGCCGAAUACAACGGGCGCAGAACCGCUGGGAAGACGAAGUCACUCGGCUUUUAUAUAUAACGACAAAAUCUACAUUUUCGGAGGUUACAACGGAAACUUAGAUGUACACUUCAACGAUCUCUACUGCUUCGACCCGGAUCGUUACGUGUGGCGGCUGAUUCGACCACAAGGACAAUCACCAAUGGCACGACGACGACAGACGUGUUUGGUUAUCGGUCAGCGGAUGUACCUUUUCGGUGGAACACGCCCCUCGGCCCUGGCGGAUUCAGCGUCUUACGAUUACAGUGAUACUCACGUGCUAGAUUUCAACCCGACCUUACGCACGCUUGCAAUGGUCAAGGUGCUGGAAUACAAGCUGGACAGCUCCUGUCUGCCGAGGACAAUCAAGACGGAGAUGCGCAACAUGACUAGUCCAAACAAAAUCACCCGAUCGCUAGUUAGCGGCUAGAAUCGACCUGAGCAUUCUGCUCAGUAUUGUUAAGCAAAGUUGGUAAAAUAUCAGUCACCUUCAUAACGAUCAGGACCGUUGAACCGUUCAUUGUGUAUACCAUAGCAGCGUGCUCCCCGGUUUAGUGAAGCUACAAGAAAAGUUAGUUAAGUUAGUUGAGUAAAAGGAUUGUAAAAGUGGAUAACAAAAAGGAAGUGAAAUUUAGUAAAGAUACGGUUGGUAGAAGCUAAAGAGGUACAGCAGGAAGAAGUUUGGUUAGUUUUAACACGAACGAAAUACCAACAGGCCCUAUACACCACCGAGGGGUGACAUCUGACGGUUGUCGUUGUCGUGAGUCCGAAGGCAAACUUCCGACCACUCACCACGUUGUGUCCAUCACCGUAGCCAAUCCGACUCACCCGCAGGCGGUUUGAGGAACCGCUGAAAACAACAGCCGCUGG
This is an RNA transcript of Sabethes cyaneus, 2162 nucleotides long. It is a transcript of the gene named kelch domain-containing protein 3, with no coding region annotated. Lineage: Eukaryota; Metazoa; Arthropoda; Insecta; Diptera; Culicidae. The record is from RefSeq and is a predicted model, not a curated record. The transcript has 7 exons.